This 419-nucleotide ribosomal RNA is filed under the name uncultured bacterium. RNAcentral's name for it is "partial 16S ribosomal RNA". It matches the Rfam family "Bacterial small subunit ribosomal RNA", at positions 338 to 755 of the family's 1533-position model. The record is from RNAcentral.
CCUACGGGAGGCAGCAGUGAGGAAUAUUGGUCAAUGGGCGGGAGCCUGAACCAGCCAAGCCGCGGGAGGGAAGAAGGUACAGCGGAUCGUAAACCUCUUUUGUAAGGGAACAAAGGCGGGGACGAGUGCCCGGAUGAGGGUACCUGAAGAAAAAGCAUCGGCUAACUCCGUGCCAGCAGCCUCGGUAAUACGGAGGAUGCGAGCUUUAUCCGGAUGUAUGGGGGUUAAAGGGUGCGCAGGCGGCCUGUUAAGUCAGCGGUAAAAGCCCGGGGCUCACCCCCGGCGAGCCGUUGAAACUGGCGGGCUGUAUUUGGCGCGCAGUACGCGGACUGCGCGUUGUAGCGGUGAACUGCUUAGAUAUCGCGCAGAACCCCGAUUGCGAAGGCAGCUUACCGGCUCCACACUGCCGCUGAUGCACG